This 497-nucleotide ribosomal RNA is filed under the name uncultured bacterium. RNAcentral describes it as "partial 16S ribosomal RNA". It matches the Rfam family "Bacterial small subunit ribosomal RNA", at positions 28 to 507 of the family's 1533-position model. The record is from RNAcentral.
GACGAACGCUGGCGGCGUGCCUAAUACAUGCAAGUUGAGCGAUGAAGCUUGGUGCUUGCACCAAUUUGAAGAGCAGCGAACGGGUGAGUAACGCGUGGGGAAUCUGCCUUUGAGCGGGGGACAACAUUUGGAAACGAAUGCUAAUACCGCAUAACAACUUUAAACAUAAGUUUUAAGUUUGAAAGAUGCAAUUGCAUCACUCAAAGAUGAUCCCGCGUUGUAUUAGUUAGUUGGUGAGGUAAAGGCUCACCAAGGCGAUGAUACAUAGCCGACCUGAGAGGGUGAUCGGCCACAUUGGGACUGAGACACGGCCCAAACUCAUACGGGAGGCAGCAGUAGGGAAUCUUCGGCAAUGGACGAAAGUCUGACCGAGAAACGCCGCGUGAGUGAAGAAGGUUUUCGGAUCGUAAAACUCUGUUGGUAGAGAAGAACGUUGGUGAGAGUGGAAAGCUCAUCAAGUGACGGUAACUACACAGAAAGGGACGGCUAACUACGUG